CAAAAUCCGUUGGCUUUAUUGACCGUGAGGGUUCAAGUCCCUCUACCCCCA
RNAcentral lists this transfer RNA (51 nucleotides) under Trachypus bicolor. Its description in RNAcentral is "partial tRNA-Leu". The record is from RNAcentral. RNAcentral also lists the same sequence under 2 other names. Lineage: Eukaryota; Viridiplantae; Streptophyta; Bryopsida; Hypnales; Meteoriaceae.